CGGGGUGCAGCAGGCGCGAAAACUUUACAAUGCGGGAAACCGUGAUAAGGGGACACCGAGUGCCAGCAUCAUAUGCUGGCUGUCCAGGUGUGUAAAAUACACCUGUUAGCAAGGGCCGGGCAAGACCGGUGCCAGCCGCCGCGGUAACACCGGCGGCCCGAGUGGUGAUCGUGAUUAUUGGGUCUAAAGGGUCCGUAGCCGGUUUGGUCAGUCCUCCGGGAAAUCUGACGGCUCAACCGUUAGGCUUUCGGGGGAUACUGCCAGGCUUGGAACCGGGAGAGGUAAGAGGUACUACAGGGGUAGGAGUGAAAUCUUGUAAUCCCUGUGAGACCGCCUGUGGCGAAGGUGUCUUACCAGAACGGGUUCGACGGUGAGGGACGAAAGCUGGGGGCACGAACCGGAUUAGAUACCCGGGUAGUCCCAGCCGUAAACGAUACUCGCUAGGUGUCAGGCAUGGCGCGACCGUGUCUGGUGCCGCAGGGAAGCCGUGAAGCGAGCCACCUGGGAAGUACGGCCGCAAGGCUGAAACUUAAAGGAAUUGGCGGGGGAGCACAAGGG
Molecule: ribosomal RNA, 558 nt
Filed under: uncultured archaeon
Lineage: Archaea
Description: bacterial SSU rRNA
Rfam family: Archaeal small subunit ribosomal RNA
Source: RNAcentral